This 492-nucleotide ribosomal RNA is filed under the name uncultured bacterium. Its description in RNAcentral is "partial 16S ribosomal RNA". It matches the Rfam family "Bacterial small subunit ribosomal RNA", at positions 29 to 507 of the family's 1533-position model. The record is from RNAcentral.
AGUGAACGCUGGCGGUAGGCCUAACACAUGCAAGUCGAACGGCAGCACAGUAAGAGCUUGCUCUUACGGGUGGCGGGUGGCGGACGGGUGAGGAAUACAUCGGAAUCUACUUUUUCGUGGGGGAUAGCGUAGGGAAACUUACGCUAAUACCGCAUACGACCUACGGGUGAAAGCAGGGGAUCUUCGGACCUUGCGCGAUUGAAUGAGCCGAUGUCGGAUUAGCUAGUUGGCGGGGUAAAGGCCCACCAAGGCGACGAUCCGUAGCUGGUCUGAGAGGAUGAUCAGCCACACUGGAACUGAGACACGGUCCAGACUCCUACGGGAGGCAGCAGUGGGGAAUAUUGGACAAUGGGCGCAAGCCUGAUCCAGCCAUACCGCGUGGGUGAAGAAGGCCUUCGGGUUGUAAAGCCCUUUUGUUGGGAAAGAAAAGCAGCAGGUUAAUACCCCGCUGUUCUGACGGUACCCAAAGAAUAAGCACCGGCUAACUUCGUG